This 471-nucleotide ribosomal RNA is filed under the name uncultured Pseudoalteromonas sp. RNAcentral's name for it is "bacterial SSU rRNA". It matches the Rfam family "Bacterial small subunit ribosomal RNA", at positions 97 to 570 of the family's 1533-position model. The record is from RNAcentral. Lineage: Bacteria; Pseudomonadati; Pseudomonadota; Gammaproteobacteria; Alteromonadales; Pseudoalteromonadaceae.
GGCGGACGGGUGAGUAAUGCUUGGGAACAUGCCUUGAGGUGGGGGACAACAGUUGGAAACGACUGCUAAUACCGCAUAAUGUCUACGGACCAAAGGGGGCUUCGGCUCUCGCCUUUAGAUUGGCCCAAGUGGGAUUAGCUAGUUGGUGAGGUAACGGCUCACCAAGGCGACGAUCCCUAGCUGGUUUGAGAGGAUGAUCAGCCACACUGGAACUGAGACACGGUCCAGACUCCUACGGGAGGCAGCAGUGGGGAAUAUUGCACAAUGGGGGAAACCCUGAUGCAGCCAUGCCGCGUGUGUGAAGAAGGCCUUCGGGUUGUAAAGCACUUUCAGUAAGGAGGAAAGGUUAGUAGUUAAUACCUGCUAGCUGUGACGUUACUUACAGAAGAAGCACCGGCUAACUCCGUGCCAGCAGCCGCGGUAAUACGGAGGGUGCGAGCGUUAAUCGGAAUUACUGGGCGUAAAGCGUAC